Non-coding RNA from Podarcis lilfordi (Lilford's wall lizard), 82 nucleotides. Lineage: Eukaryota; Metazoa; Chordata; Lepidosauria; Squamata; Lacertidae. The record is from the annotation of a GenBank genome assembly.
GCUCCGUGAAGUCAGCUCCUUGCGUCGGCAGAGAACGAGACUCUUAAUCUCAGGGCCGUGGGUUCAAGCCCCACGUUGGGCA